UACGUAGGGUGCGAGCGUUGUCCGGAAUUACUGGGCGUAAAGAGCUCGUAGGCGGUUUGUCGCGUUGUUCGUGAAAACUCACAACUCAAUUGUGGGCGUGCGGGCGAUACGGGCAGACUGGAGUACUGCAGGGGAGACUGGAAUUCCUGGUGUAGCGGUGGAAUGCGCAGAUAUCAGGAGGAACACCGGUGGCGAAGGCGGGUCUCUAGGCAGUAACUGACGCUGAGGAGCGAAAGCGUGGGGAGCGAACAGG
RNAcentral lists this ribosomal RNA (253 nucleotides) under uncultured bacterium. RNAcentral describes it as "partial 16S ribosomal RNA". It matches the Rfam family "Bacterial small subunit ribosomal RNA", at positions 524 to 776 of the family's 1533-position model. The record is from RNAcentral.